Molecule: long non-coding RNA, 1112 nt
Filed under: Homo sapiens (human)
Lineage: Eukaryota; Metazoa; Chordata; Mammalia; Primates; Hominidae
Description: long intergenic non-protein coding RNA 1503
Source: RNAcentral
CCUCAGAUGACGGUUCAUGCUGGGAGUGGCCUCAAGGCCUUCUGGGACCUGGCAUGGGCCAAGCUCUCCCACCUGGGGCUUUCCUCCCCUUCCUCUCUCUCCUCCAGAAACACAGAUUGAAACAUGAGAACGUCUCUCUUCCCUCUAGAGCCUCACACUUGCUGCCUCCUCUGCCUGGAACUCUCUCCCUCUGCUCUCACAGGGUUCCCUAAGUGUCGCUUCCUCCAAGAAGCCCUCCCUGAUGAGUUGAGCCACUUUAGUUUGUGCUCAGGCUCACCCUGCACGUCUUGGUUGCUCUCAUCACUGUAAUGAUCUAAAACACACGUCUGCUCAUGAGACCCGCAUCCCACCCCCGAUGCUGGGGCCGCUCUUGGAUUUUCAUGCCUGCUGCCAGCACCCAGGGGGAGCUCCGGAAAUGUCUGCUGGGGGCUCGGAAUACCCACCUUUCUGGUAAUGCAGCCCAGCGGGUCCCAGCCUCGUUUUCCAGCCCUCACUCAAAAUGGAGUCGCUCUGGUUCGAACGCCUCUGACAAGUGUGUACCUACGUGUCAGGCCCAUCCUUCCUGCAGGCCUUUGUCUUGGUGUCACCCUGCCUGAGCUGGCCCCAACCACAGUAGCAACAGUGAUGCUGAUGUGUGACUGCUGCCAGGAGCCUGCUCACAUGACCGUGUGGAGAAAGUUCUUUCCCUGAGGACCAUCUGGAGUGGACGCGUGCACUACCCCUCUCUGAAUACACCCUCCCCACGAGGCCCUCUGGAGCAUCCUGUAGAGCCAGCCCCUACCCAGAGACCCUGAGCCCAGAGAAUGCGCUGGGUGGUGAGCCUGGGGACGAAUGCAGAGCCCUAGGUCUCCUCUCCAGAAAGACCGGAUUUUGCCAUGUUGGCCAGGCUGGUCUUGAACUCCUGACCUCAAGUGAUCCACCUGCCUCGGCCUCCCAAAGUGCAGGGAUUACAGGUGUGAGCCACUGCACCCGGCCUCAGGCAGGUAUUUUUACCAGCCGAAUACUCUUGCACUGUGCACUCUUCGUGUUCAUCAUCAGUCCCCCGGAUGGGUGUUUAAGGCAUUUCCAAAGCUCUGUUAUUAAAAACACGAUGCAAUGAGUUUCUUUCAGCA